This 332-nucleotide unclassified non-coding RNA is filed under the name soil metagenome. RNAcentral's name for it is "partial contains 5.8S ribosomal RNA, internal transcribed spacer 2, and large subunit ribosomal RNA". The stretch from base 1 to 120 matches the Rfam family "5.8S ribosomal RNA", at positions 35 to 154 of the family's 154-position model. The record is from RNAcentral.
GAUGAAGAACGCAGCGAAAUGCGAUAAGUAAUGCGAAUUGCAGAAUUCAGUGAAUCAUCGAAUCUUUGAACGCACAUUGCGCCCUUUGGUAUUCCUUAGGGCAUGCCUGUUCGAGCGUCAUUUAAACCUUCAAGCUAAGCUUGGUGUUGGGUGACUGUCCGCUUCACGGCGGACUCGCCUCAAAAUUAUUGGCGGCCGGUACAUUGGCUUCGAGCGCAGCAGAAACGCGAACUCGGGCCCGUCGUAUUGGCUCCCAGAAGCUAUCUUCACAAUUUUGACCUCGGAUCAGGUAGGGAUACCCGCUGAACUUAAGCAUAUCAAUAAGCGGAGGA